CCUACGGGUGGCAGCAGUGGGGAAUAUUGGACAAUGGGCGCAAGCCUGAUCCAGCCAUGCCGCGUGAGUGAUGAAGGCCCUAGGGUUGUAAAGCUCUUUCACCGGAGAAGAUAAUGACGGUAUCCGGAGAAGAAGCCCCGGCUAACUUCGUGCCAGCAGCCGCGGUAAUACGAAGGGGGCUAGCGUUGUUCGGAAUUACUGGGCGUAAAGCGCACGUAGGCGGGUAUUUAAGUCAGGGGUGAAAUCCCAGAGCUCAACUCUGGAACUGCCUUUGAUACUGGGUACCUAGAGUAUGGAAGAGGUGAGUGGAAUUCCGAGUGUAGAGGUGAAAUUCGUAGAUAUUCGGAGGAACACCAGUGGCGAAGGCGGCUCACUGGUCCAUUACUGACGCUGAGGUGCGAAAGCGUGGGGAGCAAACAGGAUUAGAUACCCCAGUAGUC
This 440-nucleotide ribosomal RNA is filed under the name uncultured bacterium. RNAcentral describes it as "bacterial SSU rRNA". It matches the Rfam family "Bacterial small subunit ribosomal RNA", at positions 338 to 795 of the family's 1533-position model. The record is from RNAcentral.